GUGCCAGCAGCCGCGGUAAUACGUAGGUGGCAAGCGUUGUCCGGAUUUAUUGGGCGUAAAGGGUGCGUAGGUGGUUUUUUAAGUGGGAUGUGAAAUCCCUGGGCUCAACCCAGGAACUGCAUUCCAAACUGGGAAACUAGAGUGCAGGAGAGGAAAGUGGAAUUCCUAGUGUAGCGGUGAAAUGCGUAGAGAUUAGGAGGAACACCAGUGGCGAAGGCGACUUUCUGGACUGUAACUGACACUGAGGCACGAAAGCGUGGGGAGCAAACAGGAUUAGAUACCCUGGUAGUCCACGCCGUAAACGAUGAGCACUAGGUGUAGGGGAGACCAUCCUCUGUGCCGCAGUUAACACAUUAAGUGCUCCGCCUGGGAAGUACGAUCGCAAGAUUAAA
RNAcentral lists this ribosomal RNA (392 nucleotides) under uncultured bacterium. Its description in RNAcentral is "bacterial SSU rRNA". It matches the Rfam family "Bacterial small subunit ribosomal RNA", at positions 505 to 898 of the family's 1533-position model. The record is from RNAcentral.